CCACCUAUCCACAGUGGAUAUACCGCACCAAGUUCAAGUGUUAAACGGGUUUUACGACAAAGACUCUACUUCUAACUUGGAUAACGAGGAAACAACACAAUAAUAGAUCAGUCCGUGGGAUGCGGCGUAGACUACCAACAUCUCCCUAAUAGACCUCGCUGUCGGACCCAGCAGCACCAUGUCGUCCGCGUAGCUGAAGUUUCAGCCGGCAUACCCCUAUCUCCCUC
Molecule: long non-coding RNA, 227 nt
Organism: Hyposmocoma kahamanoa
Lineage: Eukaryota; Metazoa; Arthropoda; Insecta; Lepidoptera; Cosmopterigidae
Exons: 3
Source: RefSeq, a predicted model, not a curated record